GGCACUUUGGCGGAGUGGUUAACGCGAUGCCCUGCUAUUGACCAAAUAGACCAGGCAUUCCCUUCGGGGGCGUGUGUUCGAAUCACACAGGUGUCG
Molecule: transfer RNA, 96 nt
Filed under: Daldinia vernicosa
Lineage: Eukaryota; Fungi; Ascomycota; Sordariomycetes; Xylariales; Hypoxylaceae
Description: tRNA-Ser
Rfam family: tRNA
About the family: Transfer RNA (tRNA) molecules are approximately 80 nucleotides in length. Their secondary structure includes four short double-helical elements and three loops (D, anti-codon, and T loops).
Source: RNAcentral